CAAUAGCGUAUAUUAAAGCUGUUGCGGUUAAAAGCUCGUAGUUGGAUUUCUGUCAAGGACAACUGGUCCGCCCUCCGGGUGAGCACAUAGUUUGGUCUUGACAUCUUGCUGGAAGCUGUUGCUGCACUUGGCUGUGUGGCGCAGUGUUCAGCACUUUCACUUUGAGGAAAUUGGAGUGUUUCAAGCAGGCACAUGCCUUUGGACACAGUAGCAUGGAAUAAUUAGAUUGGGCUUUUGCUCCAAUUUGUCGGUUUCUGGAGCUGAGGUGAGUAUUAAUGGGGAUUGUUGGGGGCAUCCGAAUUUAGCCGUCAGAGGUGAAAUUCUUGGAUCUGCUAAAGACGGACAACUGCGAAAGCGUUUGCCCAGGAUGUUUNCAUUGA
This 380-nucleotide ribosomal RNA is filed under the name uncultured eukaryote. RNAcentral's name for it is "partial 18S ribosomal RNA". It matches the Rfam family "Eukaryotic small subunit ribosomal RNA", at positions 592 to 976 of the family's 1831-position model. The record is from RNAcentral.